GGUAUGUGGGUGGCAAAGUGAAAUGACGAUAAUAUAUUCUGACCACAUGCGGACAAAAAUUAUAAUUAGUUCUUGAGCUUGUUUUGUUAUCCAAUGCCCGAUUCCUCCUUUGACGUCGAAGUUUGGAGGCCAGGAGAUCCUUACUGCUAGAUGGAGAGCGCUGGCCAGGUGGAGAGGGUCGGCCAGUUGGUCCAAACCCGCU
RNAcentral lists this long non-coding RNA (202 nucleotides) under Elaeis guineensis (African oil palm). Its description in RNAcentral is "long non-coding RNA (EGUI_LNC013861)". Lineage: Eukaryota; Viridiplantae; Streptophyta; Magnoliopsida; Arecales; Arecaceae. The record is from RNAcentral.